AUACGGAGGGGGCUAGCGUUGUUCGGAAUUACUGGGCGUAAAGCGCGCGUAGGCGGUUGUUCAAGUUGGGCGUGAAAGCCCGGGGCUCAACCUCGGAACUGCCUUCAAUACUGUUGAUCUUGAGUCCGAGAGAGGUGAGUGGAAUUCCUAGUGUAGAGGUGAAAUUCGUAGAUAUUAGGAAGAACACCAGUGGCGAAGGCGGCUCACUGGCUCGGUACUGACGCUGAGGUGCGAAAGCGUGGGGAGCAAACAGGAUUAGAAACCCCGGUAGUCC
RNAcentral lists this ribosomal RNA (274 nucleotides) under uncultured bacterium. RNAcentral's name for it is "partial 16S ribosomal RNA". It matches the Rfam family "Bacterial small subunit ribosomal RNA", at positions 523 to 796 of the family's 1533-position model. The record is from RNAcentral.